RNAcentral lists this ribosomal RNA (492 nucleotides) under uncultured bacterium. RNAcentral describes it as "partial 16S ribosomal RNA". It matches the Rfam family "Bacterial small subunit ribosomal RNA", at positions 29 to 507 of the family's 1533-position model. The record is from RNAcentral.
AGUGAACGCUGGCGGUAGGCCUAACACAUGCAAGUCGAACGGCAGCACAGUAAGAGCUUGCUCUUACGGGUGGCGAGUGGCGGACGGGUGAGGAAUACAUCGGAAUCUACUUUUUCGUGGGGGAUAACGUAGGGAAACUUACGCUAAUACCGCAUACGACCUACGGGUGAAAGCAGGGGAUCUUCGGACCUUGCGCGAUUGAAUGAGCCGAUGUCGGAUUAGCUAGUUGGCGGGGUAAAGGCCCACCAAGGCGACGAUCCGUAGCUGGUCUGAGAGGAUGAUCAGCCACACUGGAACUGAGACACGGUCCAGACUCCUACGGGAGGCAGCAGUGGGGAAUAUUGGACAAUGGGCGUAAGCCUGAUCCAGCCAUACCGCGUGGGUGAAGAAGGCCCUCGGGUUGUAAAGCCCUUUUGUUGGGAAAGAAAAGCAGCAGGUUAAUACCCCGCUGUUCUGACGGUACCCAAAGAAUAAGCACCGGCUAACUUCGUG